AGAUGUUGGGGCGAUCUGGCUGUGACAUCUGUUGAUUUGGCUGAUGUGACUUGACUAUGAAGGUGUCCCCUUCCUCCCUCAUCACCCCAUCCCUCCUGAAGCUGCAUGUUCAAUGGAAGAGGAUGGCAUCCCAGACAGAAGUGUAGCAUUGUUCAGUCAAGGGUACUGAAUACGAAUACUUUCCUCUCACAUAUCAGAAGAAGAAGAAGAAGAACUUGGUUUUUAUACCCCGCUUU
This 236-nucleotide small RNA is filed under the name Salvator merianae (Argentine black and white tegu). RNAcentral's name for it is "7SK RNA (ENSSMRG00000005014.1)". The stretch from base 1 to 167 matches the Rfam family "7SK RNA". From Rfam's summary of the family: 7SK was discovered as an abundant small nuclear RNA in the mid-70s but a possible function has only recently been suggested. Two independent studies have found that 7SK RNA binds the CDK9/cyclin T complex (known as elongation factor P-TEFb). Lineage: Eukaryota; Metazoa; Chordata; Lepidosauria; Squamata; Teiidae. The record is from RNAcentral.